Molecule: long non-coding RNA, 247 nt
Filed under: Mytilus galloprovincialis (Mediterranean mussel)
Lineage: Eukaryota; Metazoa; Mollusca; Bivalvia; Mytilida; Mytilidae
Source: RNAcentral
UCUUAGGCCGUGUUCACACCAAACGCCAUGUACAGUAAACUUGUUUACAAUUAGUUUAAUGUACUGGACAUUGGUUUCACAUUAAAUUUGUUCACAUCUAAACACCUUGUUUAAUUACCUGUACAUAAGAUUUGUUCACACUUGUAAACUCUAUGUCAUUUAAAUGUUCAUUACGUAGAACCGAAUGCAAAGUUUUCGGACAACUUUUCUAGCAGUAAGGGAACGACCAUUUGACUUCAAAUCAGGG